GACGAACGCUGGCGGCGUGCUUAACACAUGCAAGUCGAACGGUAAGGCCCUUCGGGGUACACGAGUGGCGAACGGGUGAGUAACACGUGGGUGAUCUGCCCUGCACUUCGGGAUAAGCCUGGGAAACUGGGUCUAAUACCGGAUAGGACUCCGGACUGCAUGGUCUGGGGUGGAAAGCUUUUGCGGUGUGGGAUGGGCCCGCGGCCUAUCAGCUUGUUGGUGGGGUGAUGGCCUACCAAGGCGACGACGGGUAGCCGGCCUGAGAGGGUGACCGGCCACACUGGGACUGAGAUACGGCCCAGACUCGUACGGGAGGCAGCAGUGGGGAAUAUUGCACAAUGGGCGCAAGCCUGAUGCAGCGACGCCGCGUGAGGGAUGACGGCCUUCGGGUUGUAAACCUCUUUCAGCAUCGACGAAGCGAAAGUGACGGUAGGUGCAGAAGAAGGACCGACCAACUACGUGCCAGCAGCCGCAGUAA
Molecule: ribosomal RNA, 478 nt
Filed under: uncultured bacterium
Lineage: Bacteria
Description: partial 16S ribosomal RNA
Rfam family: Bacterial small subunit ribosomal RNA
Source: RNAcentral